This 1552-nucleotide ribosomal RNA is filed under the name Staphylococcus aureus. RNAcentral describes it as "16S ribosomal RNA". It matches the Rfam family "Bacterial small subunit ribosomal RNA". The record is from RNAcentral. Lineage: Bacteria; Bacillati; Bacillota; Bacilli; Caryophanales; Staphylococcaceae.
UUUAUGGAGAGUUUGAUCCUGGCUCAGGAUGAACGCUGGCGGCGUGCCUAAUACAUGCAAGUCGAGCGAACGGACGAGAAGCUUGCUUCUCUGAUGUUAGCGGCGGACGGGUGAGUAACACGUGGAUAACCUACCUAUAAGACUGGGAUAACUUCGGGAAACCAUAGCUAAUACCGGAUAAUAUUUUGAACCGCAUGGUUCAAAAGUGAAAGACGGUCUUGCUGUCACUUAUAGAUGGAUCCGCGCUGCAUUAGCUAGUUGGUAAGGUAACGGCUUACCAAGGCAACGAUGCAUAGCCGACCUGAGAGGGUGAUCGGCCACACUGGAACUGAGACACGGUCCAGACUCCUACGGGAGGCAGCAGUAGGGAAUCUUCCGCAAUGGGCGAAAGCCUGACGGAGCAACGCCGCGUGAGUGAUGAAGGUCUUCGGAUCGUAAAACUCUGUUAUUAGGGAAGAACAUAUGUGUAAGUAACUGUGCACAUCUUGACGGUACCUAAUCAGAAAGCCACGGCUAACUACGUGCCAGCAGCCGCGGUAAUACGUAGGUGGCAAGCGUUAUCCGGAAUUAUUGGGCGUAAAGCGCGCGUAGGCGGUUUUUUAAGUCUGAUGUGAAAGCCCACGGCUCAACCGUGGAGGGUCAUUGGAAACUGGAAAACUUGAGUGCAGAAGAGGAAAGUGGAAUUCCAUGUGUAGCGGUGAAAUGCGCAGAGAUAUGGAGGAACACCAGUGGCGAAGGCGACUUUCUGGUCUGUAACUGACGCUGAUGUGCGAAAGCGUGGGGAUCAAACAGGAUUAGAUACCCUGGUAGUCCACGCCGUAAACGAUGAGUGCUAAGUGUUAGGGGGUUUCCGCCCCUUAGUGCUGCAGCUAACGCAUUAAGCACUCCGCCUGGGGAGUACGACCGCAAGGUUGAAACUCAAAGGAAUUGACGGGGACCCGCACAAGCGGUGGAGCAUGUGGUUUAAUUCGAAGCAACGCGAAGAACCUUACCAAAUCUUGACAUCCUUUGACAACUCUAGAGAUAGAGCCUUCCCCUUCGGGGGACAAAGUGACAGGUGGUGCAUGGUUGUCGUCAGCUCGUGUCGUGAGAUGUUGGGUUAAGUCCCGCAACGAGCGCAACCCUUAAGCUUAGUUGCCAUCAUUAAGUUGGGCACUCUAAGUUGACUGCCGGUGACAAACCGGAGGAAGGUGGGGAUGACGUCAAAUCAUCAUGCCCCUUAUGAUUUGGGCUACACACGUGCUACAAUGGACAAUACAAAGGGCAGCGAAACCGCGAGGUCAAGCAAAUCCCAUAAAGUUGUUCUCAGUUCGGAUUGUAGUCUGCAACUCGACUACAUGAAGCUGGAAUCGCUAGUAAUCGUAGAUCAGCAUGCUACGGUGAAUACGUUCCCGGGUCUUGUACACACCGCCCGUCACACCACGAGAGUUUGUAACACCCGAAGCCGGUGGAGUAACCUUUUAGGAGCUAGCCGUCGAAGGUGGGACAAAUGAUUGGGGUGAAGUCGUAACAAGGUAGCCGUAUCGGAAGGUGCGGCUGGAUCACCUCCUUU